UCAAGCGAAUAAGCGCACACGGUGGAUGCCUUGGCGGUCAGAGGCGAUGAAGGACGUGGCAGCCUGCGAAAAGUAUCGGGGAGCUGGCAACAAGCUUUGAUCCGGUAAUGUCCGAAUGGGGAAACCCACCCGCUUGCGGGUAUCCUGCAGUGAAUACAUAGCUGCUGGAAGCGAACCUGGUGAACUGAAAUAUCUAAGUAACCAGAGGAAAAGAAAUCAACCGAGAUUCCGUAAGUAGCGACGAGCGAACGCGGACUAGCCCUUAAGCUGGAUUGGUUCUAGGAAAACGCUCUGGAAAGAGCGGCCAUAGAAGGUGAUAGCCCUGUAUCUGAAAGGGCCAUUCCAGUGAAGACGAGUAGGGCGGGGCACGUGAAACCCUGUCUGAACAUGGGGGGACCAUCCUCCAAGGCUAAAUACUACUGACCGACCGAUAGUGAACCAGUACCGUGAGGGAAAGGCGAAAAGAACCCCGGAGAGGGGAGUGAAAUAGAACCUGAAACCGUGUGCGUACAAGCAGUAGGAGCUCCGCAAGGAGUGACUGCGUACCUUUUGUAUAAUGGGUCAGCGACUUACUGUUCGUGGCAAGCUUAACCGUAUAGGGGAGGCGAAGGGAAACCGAGUCUGAUAAGGGCGCAUAGUCGCGGGCAGUAGACCCGAAACCGGGUGAUCUAGUCAUGCCCAGGGUGAAGGUGCGGUAACACGCACUGGAGGCCCGAACCCACUCCCGUUGCAAAGGUAGGGGAUGAGGUGUGAUUAGGAGUGAAAAGCUAAUCGAACCCGGAGAUAGCUGGUUCUCCUCGAAAGCUAUUUAGGUAGCGCCUCAUAUGUAUCCUCUCGGGGGUAGAGCACUGUUAUGGCUAGGGGGUCAUCGCGACUUACCAAACCAUUGCAAACUCCGAAUACCGAGACGGACUGUAUGGGAGACACACGGCGGGUGCUAACGUCCGUCGUGAAAAGGGAAACAACCCAGACCCACAGCUAAGGUCCCAAAUUCACUGCUAAGUGGAAAACCAUGUGGAAAGGCACAGACAGCCAGGAGGUUGGCUUAGAAGCAGCCACCCUUUAAAGAAAGCGUAAUAGCUCACUGGUCGAGUCGGUCUGCGGGGAAGAUUUAACGGGGCUAAGCAGUGAACCGAAGCUUGGGGUGCAUAACUUUGUUAUGCGCGGUAGAGGAGCGUUCCGUAAGCCGUUGAAGGUGGAUUGAGAAGUCUGCUGGAGGUAUCGGAAGUGCGAAUGCUGACAUGAGUAACGAUAAUGCGGGUGAAAAACCCGCACGCCGAAAGCCCAAGGUUUCCUUGCGCAACGUUAAUCGGCGCAGGGUGAGUCGGCCCCUAAGGCGAGGACGAAAGUCGUAGUCGAUGGGAAGCAGGUUAAUAUUCCUGCACCUCGCGUAAGUGCGAUGGAGGGACGGAGAAGGUUAGGUGUACCAGGCGUUGGUUGUCCUGGGGAAAGGCGGUAGGUUUGGAUCUUUGGCAAAUCCGGGAUCCUUUAAGACCGAGCACCGAGACGAGCCUUUAAGGCGAAGUCACUGAUACCACGCUUCCAGGAAAAGCUCCUAAGCUUCAGCUUACGCAGACCGUACCGUAAACCGACACAGGUGGGUAGGAUGAGAAUUCUCAGGCGCUUGAGAGAACUCGGGUGAAGGAACUAGGCAACAUGGCACCGUAACUUCGGGAGAAGGUGCACCCUUUUUGGUGGCUCGUGCGAGCUAUAGCUGAAGAGGGUCGCAGUAACCAGGCCGCUGCGACUGUUUAUCAAAAACACAGCACUCUGCAAACACGAAAGUGGACGUAUAGGGUGUGACGCCUGCCCGGUGCUGGAAGGUUAAUUGAUGGGGUCAGCCGCAAGGCGAAGCUCUUGAUCGAAGCCCCAGUAAACGGCGGCCGUAACUAUAACGGUCCUAAGGUAGCGAAAUUCCUUGUCGGGUAAGUUCCGACCUGCACGAAUGGCGUAACGACAGCGGCGCUGUCUCCACCCGAGACUCAGUGAAAUUGAAAUCGCUGUGAAGAUGCAGCGUUCCCGUGGCAAGACGGAAAGACCCCGUGAACCUUUACUAUAGCUUUACACUGAACGUUGAGUUCGUCUGUGUAGGAUAGGUGGGAGGCUAUGAAACUGUGGCGCUAGCUGCAGUGGAGCCAUCCUUGAAAUACCACCCUGUCGUGCUUGACGUUCUAACCUGGGCCCAUUAUCUGGGUCGGGGACCGUGUAUGGUGGGUAGUUUGACUGGGGCGGUCUCCUCCUAAAGAGUAACGGAGGAGCUCGAAGGUACGCUCAGCGCGGUCGGACAUCGCGCACUGUGUGCAAAGGCAUAAGCGUGCUUGACUGCAAGAUCGACGGAUCAAGCAGGUAGGAAACUAGGACUUAGUGAUCCGGUGGUUCUGUAUGGAAGGGCCAUCGCUCAACGGAUAAAAGGUACUCCGGGGAUAACAGGCUGAUACCGCCCAAGAGUUCAUAUCGACGGCGGUGUUUGGCACCUCGAUGUCGGCUCAUCACAUCCUGGGGCUGUAGUCGGUCCCAAGGGUAUGGCUGUUCGCCAUUUAAAGUGGUACGCGAGCUGGGUUCAGAACGUCGUGAGACAGUUCGGUCCCUAUCUGCCAUGGGCGUUGGAGAUUUGAGAGGGGCUGCUCCUAGUACGAGAGGACCGGAGUGGACGAACCUCUGGUGUUCCGGUUGUCACGCCAGUGGCAUUGCCGGGUAGCUAUGUUCGGAAGCGAUAACCGCUGAAAGCAUCUAAGCGGGAAGCGCGCCUCAAGAUGAGAUCUCCCGGGGCACAAGCCCCCUGAAGGAACCAUGUAGACUACGUGGUUGAUAGGUCAGGUGUGUAAGUACAGCAAUGUAUUGAGCUAACUGAUACUAAUGAUCCGUGCGGCUUGACCA
This 2877-nucleotide ribosomal RNA is filed under the name Stenotrophomonas maltophilia. RNAcentral describes it as "23S ribosomal RNA". It matches the Rfam family "Bacterial large subunit ribosomal RNA". The record is from RNAcentral. Lineage: Bacteria; Pseudomonadati; Pseudomonadota; Gammaproteobacteria; Lysobacterales; Lysobacteraceae.